UCUUUGGAACGUCCCGGAGUGGGGACUGGUGUCUGAAUCAGCAACCAGAUGGUGAAGUCCUUCAGGCACAGAGCUUCUCUCUCAGGAUCCAUGGACAGCCUGGCUGCUCACUCCAACAUGGCAUGGGAUGCAGAGCUUGCAGGAUAGGUGGUGCAGGGCUCCUGGGCUAGGGGGCAGCUUAGCAGUGUCUUGAUCACCCUGGGCUAUGUGUGGGAUAAAGGAAGACCUGGCUUCUGGCACAAGCAGCUCCUGAACACUCAGACACUCUGCAAAUGGAGGAGGGCAAGCUGCUGUGCGUGACCAAGGAAACGGAGAGCGGGCUGCCCUUGUGAACUUGCCGAGUGCCUGAUGGAGAUCGGGAGGAGAGGAGAGCUGGGGGAGCAGGAAAAACAUUACUUCUCUCCUGCUUAUUGGCCGAGGCAAGAUUGAUUGACUGCACUGGCGGUAGCGUAGCAGGCGCCAAGACAGGAGAAACGUGGCGGCUGGAAAGAUGGACAACUCCAUCGUUUCAUUCUGCUUCAUGCAGAGCUACCAUUACCUUGCUGGAUAUUUCGUGGGAGGUUUGAUGGUCUGAGCCUGCAGGCUUCGGGACCGUCGACAGUGUGCUAAUGUAAAGUUGCUUGAGCUUAUGGAAGAUUUUUGAAGGCCUGGAUUCCAUGUGUUGAGACUGGCACCAUAUCAGAGGAACAGCUGAGUAUAUGGAGCAGGGAAGCUACGUGUGAGUUAUCCAGCAAGGAGAGAAUCCGCCUGGGGCUGCGAUCCUGGGUGCUGGAAUGAGGAGGGGAGGCAGCGGUCCCAGCUGGUCCUCCCCCACCACGCAGACAGGCUGGGGUUUUGCUCCACAAGAGCAGGAUUAUCAUGUUGGUGGACAGUGUCCUGGGCAGCUUUGUCCUGUUUAUUUGCAGGCUAGGCAGGGCCAGGGGUAUGUGGAGGCCAGGCUGGGAUGUGCUGCGGGGGGCAAGGAGGAAUGUGGAUCUUCCCUCUGCUGUGGGACAGUGCUGCCUUAGCAAGUGCCAGCCCUCAGAAGUGGCUCUGGGGCUACAGGGAGAGGAUAUUUAGAAAAUCUAAUUUUAGCUGAGUCAGCUCUUCCCUAGGGUGUCCAGGAGGGAGAAGCUUCUGCCCAGACGAGCUGGCUGCCCUGCUCACAGGGAAGGAGACCAGCUUGAUGCCUUCAGCCACCACCUGGAAACCCCCUGGGGGCAGUGCUAAAGGGAUGAACAUUUCCUCACCAACUCCCAAGCUGCUCUGACAAAGAUCCCAGGAAUACCCAGGUCUGCAGCGAGGUGCUGCCCCACCACCAGAGAUUUCAUUCACCCAUGUAGGGCAGAGAUAAUUGUCCCCCCGCUAUCCAGAUUCACUGCCUGCCCCCCUGCAGGAGGCACUAAAGCAGAAAUAGUCAGGGCAGAGCCCAGAAUAUCUGAAUGGAUCCUGGUGCAGUGUCUGGAAGGGUUGGAUCAAUCCAAGCUCCCUUCCACGGUGGUGCUGACUCACCAGGACAGGCAAGGAGCUCAGCAACUCUGGAGCCAUGUAUGAACCAGUGGCAGCUGGAGGGUGCCUGGGAAGGGAGGAUUGGAUCGACAGGCAGGUGAAAAAGCUUUUGUGACAACCAGCUUUGAGCUCUUGCAAACACGACAAGCCCCCCUGAACUGGUUUUCCUGGGAGCUGCCAUGACCAGCAGCAUGCUGCUGCUGGGGACAAGCUGGUGCCUUUGUCUUUCCUGGCUGAGUGAACAAGCUGAUGGCUUUAGGUACAGUUACCAGCAUCCUUCCUUCUGGAGCAGGUCAGCCCUGGCUGCCAAGCCAGGCUGCUCCUUCCCAAGAGCAGUCUGUGGAAUGAAUUCUUACACCGACCUAACGUAAUUGGGCUAAAAGAUCUGCCACACUCCUCCGAGGUCUUUGGGGAGGCUCCUGGGCUGGGCCUUUUGCUGUCCUUAGAAGGGGCCAUCAGGAUGUGUGAGUGGAAGUGAGAAAUGAGAUUUCCUGGGAAUAAUCCUCCUACAUGACACUCAGUGGCAUCUGUGAAAAGUCUCGUGUGCGCCGAGGGGAUACACGUGAGGGAGCGUGGAGAGACGUCUGGAGAGAGACCACGUCCUGUUAAUUUGCUCCAAAUUUGUGAGGGUUGGGUGGCCAGGCUGAUUGGAGAGAGAGGCAGUGCAGGCCUGGAUCACACAGCCAAGCUCAGCACUGUAUGGGGCAGAUCAGAACCCAUGCUGCAAAUAAGGUGAGGCAGAGCCCAUCCUGAGCCUCUGUAAAGCCACUCUCUGCACCGAGGGCUCCUAAAUUGGCUGUCACCUCCCAGGAAUCGGGUAAUUUUGUGACAACCCAAUGAGGACCUCUGCUUGAAAGCCCAGCUGUGACCAAAAAGGUGAGUAAAAAUGAGAGGCUUCACAGAAGAGACUGCAGAGAAGGAUGUCAGAAGUUUCACAAAGGCGUUAGACAGGCGGGGGGUGUCACCAUGACCUUGCACGGAGCGCUGUGGGCAGGGCUGCACAUCCCACCUCACAAAUGACAGUCACAGGCACGGAUCUGGAGGAGGCUGGGAAAAUAGCUCCAAGACUGGCAGACCCUGGGGCUUUUGUAUGCAGAAGCUUGGGCCCACCUGGCUUACAAAAUUCUGGGACUCUUAACUCCAGCUGAUUGUUUCUGGCGAUGACUGGAGCUAAAGUUUUGCUCCAGUGUUUGGGGAAGUCAACUGGACUUUGCCUGUUUGAAUUCUCUGACCUGCAGUGACAUGGGCUGGUUAAAACCUGACAAGGGAUGCUCUGAAGUAGAAAACUCCUGUCUAGAUCAGACCAGGAAGGUGUUUCCAGCUCCAUGCUGUGGGUCAGCGUUGUGCUGUCUGUAUUUCCUUAGGCAUCUGUUAACAAGCCACUGCUAAAUAGUGAUAAUCCUGCUGCUGCAAGCCCAGGUCUGAGUGUUUGCUACAGCAGGAUAAUGUCCCUGGCUAGAGAUGUGUUUGGAGCCUGUGCAAUGGCCCACUUAAAUCCACGUGAGACUUGAGGGGUCUUGGCAAAGGAGCAGCCUAAAUCAAAUUAGGAAGACAAGGGGAUGUUCCCAUGGGCCACUGCCUGGGAGUGAGCCCACAGGACUUGAAACAAUGAGGUUUCUUUUGCCACGGAACAGUAGAAAUAGGUAAUCCAGAUUAGUUGCUAAGUGCCUCCAGGAGGUAGGAUUAGUAGAAGGAAGAGUCUGCAGUACUCAGCUGGCAGAAUCUCACCAGGAAAAAGGUACGGACAUAACGGUGCCUUUGCAAGGGUCUGUCUGGUCUUAGAGGGCAAAUCAUGGGAAUGACCACAGAAACUCUCCAAAGGCCAUAGGAACGAUGUUUAUGUGUAUAGGAGGUGUCUGUGAGCCUGCACCACUUUGGCUCUCUCUCCAAAUGUCAUGAUCAAAGCACUGAAUUUAUUGAUUUUGGUGGUGUUUUGGCAUAAACUGUUUGCUGCAUCAGUGGAGGCUUUAAUUCACACAGACAACAUGGGUAAUAAAACGGUAUUUCAUAGGUCAGGAUGGUUUUCACUUUAGAGAACUGGCCAGAAAUGGAAAUUUCUGUUUGAAGAAGUUUAACUUCCCGGUUAUCCAGGUCCUACAUCUGUCAGAAAUUCUGAUGAAGUAUCAAAGAGAAAGCACCAUCUCUGCUCUGCCCUUCACGGGAGUAGAUUGGUUCUGCACAACACCAGUGCUCUGCAGCUCAGGGUACCUGUUUUGACUCCAUCCUUGGUUUAACAUAUUUAACCAUACCUUGUUCCUCUUCCCUCCCUGGGCAUCUUCCCUGUCUACUCUCCUAUCGAGCUCAUCGAGGUUGGGUGAUGCCAGACCUAAAAAGAAUGAACCUGUGCCUCACUUAAUCCCUGAUUCCAGGUGAACAUGGCAUCCUACUGUGGAUAAUACACCCCCUGGACACCGGGCACAGUGUUAGAGGGAAGAUCUCUGCUAUAUUCUCUGAAAACAUAAAGCUCUGGGACAUUGA
Long non-coding RNA from Pseudopipra pipra, 3966 nucleotides. RefSeq lists it as uncharacterized. The transcript is spliced from 3 exons. Lineage: Eukaryota; Metazoa; Chordata; Aves; Passeriformes; Pipridae. The record is from RefSeq and is a predicted model, not a curated record.